AACUUCACCUCUCGUGGCUACGCAUGGGAAUGUCCAGCCUCACGCAAAAACCCAUGGGAAAGCAUUGUAUAACACUUUCCUAUGGGAAAUCCUAAUUGGCCAUUGAUGAGUGAAGGUGAACCCGAGCCAGUGUGGAGGGACAUUGGCACCGAACCUGGGUAAGUGACAGAAGGGGCUUGUAACCCCUUCUGCACCAUGAGGUAGGGGCGCUUGACAGAGGGGGAAGCUAUAGUGCCAG
This is a non-coding RNA of Pelobates cultripes (western spadefoot toad), 238 nucleotides long. The record is from the annotation of a GenBank genome assembly. NCBI's taxonomy places the organism in Eukaryota, Metazoa, Chordata, Amphibia, Anura, Pelobatidae.